RNAcentral lists this ribosomal RNA (465 nucleotides) under uncultured bacterium. RNAcentral describes it as "partial 16S ribosomal RNA". It matches the Rfam family "Bacterial small subunit ribosomal RNA", at positions 28 to 507 of the family's 1533-position model. The record is from RNAcentral.
GACGAACGCUGGCGGCGUGCUUAACACAUGCAAGUCGAACGGAAAGACCCUGCUUGCAGGGUACUCGAGUGGCGAACUGGUGGGUAACACGUGGGUGAUCUGCACUGCACUUCGUGAUAGGCCUUGGAAACUGGGUCUUAUACCUGAUAGGAGCCAUUUUUAGUGUGUUGGUUGGAAAGUUUUUUCGGUGUAGGAUGAUCUCGCGGCCUAUCAGCUUGUUGGUGGGGUAAUGGCCUACCAAGGCGGCGACGGGUAGCCGGACUGAGAGGGUGGACGGCCACAUUGGGACUGAGAGAAGGCCGAGACGCCUACGGGAGGCAGCAGGGGGGAAUAGUGCACAAUGGGCGCAAGGCUGAUGCAGAGAGGCAGCGUGGGGGAUGACGGCCUUCGGGUUGUAAAAUCCGUUCGCUAGGGAAGAAGCUUUUUGUGACGGUACCUAGAUAAGAAGCACCGGCUAACUACGUG